AGAGUUUGAUCCUGGCUCAGGAUGAACGCUGGCGGCGUGCCUAAUACAUGCAAGUCGAACGAAGUUAUUGUAGCAAUACGAUAACUUAGUGGCGAACGGGUGAGUAACGCGUUGGUGACCUGCCCCGAAGAGGGGGAUAACAGUCCGAAAGGAUUGCUAAUACCCCAUAAUGUUUCUGGUUUUAGAAUCUAGUAACGAAAGUCGCAAGACACUUUGGGAGGGACCUGCGUCCCAUCAGCUAGUUGGUAAGGUAACGGCCUACCAAGGCGAUGACGGGUAGGGGACCUGAGAGGGUGACCCCCCACAAUGGCACUGAAACACGGGCCAUACACCUACGGGUGGCAGCAGUAGGGAAUAUUGCUUAAUGUGCGAAAGCGCGAAGCAGCAACGCCGCGUGUGUGAUGAAGGCCUUCGGGUCGUAAAACACUUUUUUGAAGGAUGAGGAAGGACAGUACUUCAAGAAUAAGCCUCGGCUAACUACGUGCCAGCAGCCGCGGUAACACGUAGGAGGCGAGCGUUAUCCGGAUUUACUGGGCGUAAAGCGCGUGUAGGCGGUUCGGUAAGUUGGAUGUGAAAGCUCCCGGCUUAACUGGGAGAGGUCGUUCAAUACUACCGGACUUGAGAGUGGUAGAGGAAGGUGGAAUUCCGCGUGUAGUGGUGAAAUGCGUAGAUAUGCGGAGGAACACCAGUGGCGAAAGCGGCCUUCUGGCCCACUUCUGACGCUCAGACGCGAAAGCUAGGGGAGCAAACGGGAUUAGAGACCCCGGUAGUCCUAGCUGU
Molecule: ribosomal RNA, 780 nt
Filed under: uncultured bacterium
Lineage: Bacteria
Description: bacterial SSU rRNA
Rfam family: Bacterial small subunit ribosomal RNA
Source: RNAcentral